CAAAAUUUUCAGUGGAUUAAGAAUUAGGAAAAGUUUUGAAUCACCAUUAUUGUUGUGGUCAGCAUUUUAAGAAUGUUGGCUAAACAACUAGUUUUAUGAAAUUUCUGUAUUGCAUUAAUUGCUUGCAUGAUUAAUAUCUAAGUGGAUGUCACCUAAAGGCUUAGCUGCUUGCUCUGUGAGUGUAGUUGCAACUUGUUCCAGACACGCACACUUAUAGACGUG
RNAcentral lists this unclassified non-coding RNA (222 nucleotides) under Hevea brasiliensis (rubber tree). Lineage: Eukaryota; Viridiplantae; Streptophyta; Magnoliopsida; Malpighiales; Euphorbiaceae. The record is from RNAcentral.